CUCUGAGUUGCAUGAACUUACUCCCGGACGCGUUUUUGGAACCACAUACCUCGAGUAAGCAAGGUUUGGGGUUAAUCAACCGAGAGUUCAGGGUUUAGUUCACGAUGUGAGGCGUGAGGAGCUGUGGCCCGAGCAUGGACUCAAAUCACAUGCAGCAUGCACACAAUGCGGAUGAAUUCAGCCUGUCGAUCGCUUCAGCAGCAUGCAAACAUGUUCACACAACAGGUGUUGUUGUUCAGCCAGCCGUACCAUCUCCACCACAAGUGAAGGACCCAUGAAGACAGCAUGUGAAGUGAUCUUUCACACAACUCAAGGACGCCAGCAUCAAAUGCAUCAGCGUUACCAUGCAAGCAAAACUAAUUAGAAAGCUGUCUGCAGGAUUCACAAGCCAAAGGAAGCAUCAACAAUAAGACUGUAUCAAACAGGCCAGUCUAUUUGUUUGGCAUUUGAAGAAUGAAGGCUAC
Molecule: long non-coding RNA, 464 nt
Organism: Cyprinus carpio carpio
Lineage: Eukaryota; Metazoa; Chordata; Actinopteri; Cypriniformes; Cyprinidae
Source: Ensembl